AGGACGAACGCUGGCGGCGUGCUUAACACAUGCAAGUCGAGCGAGGCCCUUCCUUCGGGAAGGUGUCCUAGCGGCGAACGGGUGAGUAACACGUGGGCAACCUGCCCAUAGCUCUGGGAUAAGCGCUGGAAACGGCGUCUAAUACCGGAUACGACACGGGACGGCAUCAUCUCCGUGUGGAAAGAAUUUCGGCUAUGGAUGGGCCCGCGGCCUAUCAGCUUGUUGGUGAGGUAAUGGCUCACCAAGGCUACGACGGGUAACCGGCCUGGGAGGGCGACCGGUCACACUGGGACUGAGACACGGCCCAGACUCCUACGGGAGGCAGCAGUGGGGAAUAUUGCACAAUGGGCGAAAGCCUGAUGCAGCGACGCCGCGUGAGGAUGAAUGCCUUCGGGUUGUAAACCUCUUUCAGUAGGGACGAAGCGAAAGUGACGGUACCUGCAGAGAAGCGCCGGCCACUACGCGCAGCAGCCGCGGU
This 478-nucleotide ribosomal RNA is filed under the name uncultured bacterium. RNAcentral describes it as "SSU rRNA". It matches the Rfam family "Bacterial small subunit ribosomal RNA", at positions 26 to 521 of the family's 1533-position model. The record is from RNAcentral.